AGAGUUUGAUCAUGGCUCAGGAUGAACGCUGGCGGUAUGCUUAACACAUGCAAGUCGAACGGGGGUAGAAAUACCCUAGUGGCGGACGGGUGAGUAACGCGUGAGAAUCUACCAACAGGAUGGGGAUAACAGAGGGAAACCGCUGCUAAUACCCAAUGUGCCGAGAGGUGAAAGAUUAAUUACCUGUUGAGGAGCUCGCGUCCGAUUAGCUAGUUGGUGGGGUAAGAGCCUACCAAGGCAUCGAUCGGUAGCUGGUCUGAGAGGACGAUCAGCCACACUGGGACUGAGACACGGCCCAGACUCCUACGGGAGGCAGCAGUGGGGAAUUUUCCGCAAUGGGCGAAAGCCUGACGGAGCAAUACCGCGUGAGGGAGGAAGGCUCUUGGGUUGUAAACCUCUUUUCUCAGGGAAGAACAAAAUGACGGUACCUGAGGAAUAAGCAUCGGCUAACUCCGUGCCAGCAGCCGCGGUAAUACGGAGGAUGCAAGCGUUAUCCGGAAUCAUUGGGCGUAAAGCGUCCGCAGGUGGCUAAUCAAGUCUGCCGUCAAAGACCGUAGCUCAACUACGGAAAGGCGGUGGAAACUGAUAAGCUAGAGUGCAGUAGGGGUAGAGGGAAUUCCCAGUGUAGCGGUGAAAUGCGUAGAGAUUGGGAAGAACACCGGUGGCGAAAGCGCUCUGCUGGACUGCAACUGACACUCAUGGACGAAAGCUAGGGGAGCGAAUGGGAUUAGAUACCCCCGUAGUCC
This 746-nucleotide ribosomal RNA is filed under the name uncultured cyanobacterium. RNAcentral describes it as "bacterial SSU rRNA". It matches the Rfam family "Bacterial small subunit ribosomal RNA", at positions 8 to 796 of the family's 1533-position model. The record is from RNAcentral. Lineage: Bacteria; Bacillati; Cyanobacteriota.